GGAAAAGGAGACCUCACCCCUCCCUAAGACU
Molecule: transfer RNA, 31 nt
Filed under: Phocoenoides dalli (Dall's porpoise)
Lineage: Eukaryota; Metazoa; Chordata; Mammalia; Artiodactyla; Phocoenidae
Description: partial tRNA-Thr
Source: RNAcentral